This 274-nucleotide ribosomal RNA is filed under the name uncultured bacterium. Its description in RNAcentral is "partial 16S ribosomal RNA". It matches the Rfam family "Bacterial small subunit ribosomal RNA", at positions 523 to 796 of the family's 1533-position model. The record is from RNAcentral.
AUACGGAGGAUGCGAGCGUUAUCCGGAUUUAUUAGGUUUAAAGGGUGUGUAGGCGGUAUUUUAAGUCAGUGGUGAAAUCUCGGAGCUUAACUUCGAAACUGCCAUUGAUACUGGAAUACUUGAGUAUAGUUGAGGUAGGCGGAAUAUGUAAUGUAGCGGUGUAAUGCAUAGAUAUUACAUAGAACACCGAUUGCGAAGGCAGCUUACUAAACUAUUACUGACGCUGAUGCACGAAAGCGUGGGGAGCGAACAGGAUUAGAAACCCCAGUAGUCC